Molecule: ribosomal RNA, 322 nt
Filed under: Uroleptus gallina
Lineage: Eukaryota; Ciliophora; Spirotrichea; Urostylida; Urostylidae
Description: SSU rRNA
Rfam family: Eukaryotic small subunit ribosomal RNA
Source: RNAcentral
CAUCUAAGGAAGGCAGCAGGCGCGUAAAUUACCCAAUCCUGACUCAGGGAGGUAGUGACAAGAAAUAACGGACCGAAGCCUAUGUUUCGGGAUUGCAAUGAGUAGAAUUUAAACCCCUUUACGAGGAUCAAUUGGAGGGCAAGUCUGGUGCCAGCAGCCGCGGUAAUUCCAGCUCCAAUAGCAUAUAUUAAAUUUGUUGCAGUUAAAAAGCUCGUAGUUGGAUUUCUGGGAGGGUGCCAAUGUCCGCUCGUUCGCGUGUGCAGCGGCGCCCUUCCAUCCUUCUGUUAACGUUUCUGGUAUUCAGUUACUGGACUCGGGCUCA